ACGUAGGAGACGAGCGUUGUCCGGAAUUACUGGGUGUAAAGGGCGCGUAGGCGGGUUUGUAAGUCAGAGGUGAAAUCUCCCAGCUUAACUGGGAAACUGCCUUUGAUACUGCGAAUCUUGAGUUCAGAAGAGAGAGAUGGAAUUCCAGGUGUAGUGGUGAAAUACGUAGAUAUCUGGAAGAACACCAGUGGCGAAGGCGAUCUCUUGGUCUGAUACUGACGCUGAGGCGCGAAAGCGUGGGUAGCAAACA
Molecule: ribosomal RNA, 250 nt
Filed under: uncultured bacterium
Lineage: Bacteria
Description: partial 16S ribosomal RNA
Rfam family: Bacterial small subunit ribosomal RNA
Source: RNAcentral